This 2081-nucleotide ribosomal RNA is filed under the name Escherichia coli O124. Its description in RNAcentral is "partial 23S ribosomal RNA". It matches the Rfam family "Bacterial large subunit ribosomal RNA", at positions 28 to 2136 of the family's 2925-position model. The record is from RNAcentral. Lineage: Bacteria; Pseudomonadati; Pseudomonadota; Gammaproteobacteria; Enterobacterales; Enterobacteriaceae.
AUGCCCUGGCAGUCAGAGGCGAUGAAGGACGUGCUAAUCUGCGAUAAGCGUCGGUAAGGUGAUAUGAACCGUUAUAACCGGCGAUUUCCGAAUGGGGAAACCCAGUGUGAUUCGUCACACUAUCAUUAACUGAAUCCAUAGGUUAAUGAGGCGAACCGGGGGAACUGAAACAUCUAAGUACCCCGAGGAAAAGAAAUCAACCGAGAUUCCCCCAGUAGCGGCGAGCGAACGGGGAGGAGCCCAGAGCCUGAAUCAGUGUGUGUGUUAGUGGAAGCGUCUGGAAAGGCGCGCGAUACAGGGUGACAGCCCCGUACACAAAAAUGCACAUGCUGUGAGCUCGAUGAGUAGGGCGGGACACGUGGUAUCCUGUCUGAAUAUGGGGGGACCAUCCUCCAAGGCUAAAUACUCCUGACUGACCGAUAGUGAACCAGUACCGUGAGGGAAAGGCGAAAAGAACCCCGGCGAGGGGAGUGAAAAAGAACCUGAAACCGUGUACGUACAAGCAGUGGGAGCCUCUUUAUGGGGUGACUGCGUACCUUUUGUAUAAUGGGUCAGCGACUUAUAUUCUGUAGCAAGGUUAACCGAAUAGGGGAGCCGAAGGGAAACCGAGUCUUAACUGGGCGUUAAGUUGCAGGGUAUAGACCCGAAACCCGGUGAUCUAGCCAUGGGCAGGUUGAAGGUUGGGUAACACUAACUGGAGGACCGAACCGACUAAUGUUGAAAAAUUAGCGGAUGACUUGUGGCUGGGGGUGAAAGGCCAAUCAAACCGGGAGAUAGCUGGUUCUCCCCGAAAGCUAUUUAGGUAGCGCCUCGUGAAUUCAUCUCCGGGGGUAGAGCACUGUUUCGGCAAGGGGGUCAUCCCGACUUACCAACCCGAUGCAAACUGCGAAUACCGGAGAAUGUUAUCACGGGAGACACACGGCGGGUGCUAACGUCCGUCGUGAAGAGGGAAACAACCCAGACCGCCAGCUAAGGUCCCAAAGUCAUGGUUAAGUGGGAAACGAUGUGGGAAGGCCCAGACAGCCAGGAUGUUGGCUUAGAAGCAGCCAUCAUUUAAAGAAAGCGUAAUAGCUCACUGGUCGAGUCGGCCUGCGCGGAAGAUGUAACGGGGCUAAACCAUGCACCGAAGCUGCGGCAGCGACACUAUGUGUUGUUGGGUAGGGGAGCGUUCUGUAAGCCUGUGAAGGUGUGCUGUGAGGCAUGCUGGAGGUAUCAGAAGUGCGAAUGCUGACAUAAGUAACGAUAAAGCGGGUGAAAAGCCCGCUCGCCGGAAGACCAAGGGUUCCUGUCCAACGUUAAUCGGGGCAGGGUGAGUCGACCCCUAAGGCGAGGCCGAAAGGCGUAGUCGAUGGGAAACAGGUUAAUAUUCCUGUACUUGGUGUUACUGCGAAGGGGGGACGGAGAAGGCUAUGUUGGCCGGGCGACGGUUGUCCCGGUUUAAGCGUGUAGGCUGGUUUUCCAGGCAAAUCCGGAAAAUCAAGGCUGAGGCGUGAUGACGAGGCACUACGGUGCUGAAGCAACAAAUGCCCUGCUUCCAGGAAAAGCCUCUAAGCAUCAGGUAACAUCAAAUCGUACCCCAAACCGACACAGGUGGUCAGGUAGAGAAUACCAAGGCGCUUGAGAGAACUCGGGUGAAGGAACUAGGCAAAAUGGUGCCGUAACUUCGGGAGAAGGCACGCUGAUAUGUAGGUGAAGUCCCUCGCGGAUGGAGCUGAAAUCAGUCGAAGAUACCAGCUGGCUGCAACUGUUUAUUAAAAACACAGCACUGUGCAAACACGAAAGUGGACGUAUACGGUGUGACGCCUGCCCGGUGCCGGAAGGUUAAUUGAUGGGGUCAGCGCAAGCGAAGCUCUUGAUCGAAGCCCCGGUAAACGGCGGCCGUAACUAUAACGGUCCUAAGGUAGCGAAAUUCCUUGUCGGGUAAGUUCCGACCUGCACGAAUGGCGUAAUGAUGGCCAGGCUGUCUCCACCCGAGACUCAGUGAAAUUGAACUCGCUGUGAAGAUGCAGUGUACCCGCGGCAAGACGGAAAGACCCCGUGAACCUUUACUAUAGCUUGACACUGAACAUUGAGCCUUGAUG